UACGAAGGGUGCAAGCGUUACUCGGAAUUACUGGGCGUAAAGCGUGCGUAGGCGGUUUGUUAAGUCCGCUGUGAAAGCCCUGGGCUCAACCUGGGAAUUGCACUUGAGACUGCAUAGCUAGGGUGCGGAAGAGGGAAGCGGAAUUUCCGGUGUAGCGGUGAAAUGCGUAGAUAUCGGAAGGAACACCAGUGGCGAAAGCGGCUUCCUGGUCCAGCACCGACGUUCAGGCACGAAAGCGUGGGGAGCAAACAGG
Molecule: ribosomal RNA, 253 nt
Filed under: uncultured bacterium
Lineage: Bacteria
Description: partial 16S ribosomal RNA
Rfam family: Bacterial small subunit ribosomal RNA
Source: RNAcentral